GUUCCAAAUGGUUAGUAUCUUCCUCACUACUCACAUUGUUAAAUAUGAAGCAAUAUUUAGAUACUACUUUUUUUUUGUUGUUGUUUAAACACACACAAACACACAAAUGCAGCAAAGUACAAUCAACGUAUGAAAGAAAGGGGAGUUUAAAAACUAAAAAAAUAUAAAAUAUGCAAUUAAAUUUGAAUUCUACUUUGUAUUUUUGCCAAAGAUAAAAGGUAUAAUUUGACAAUAACUUGUGAUGAUUGGUAUUUUCCAUAUUGUCAAUGUUAUGCACUUUUUUUUUUACUUUUUAGGAAGAUUCAGAAAUGAAUUCAUUGAUUUUUCUGCUAAACACUUGUGUUUAAUUGAGCUUUUAUUGGUGGAAUAUCAUUUGUCUUGAGAAUGUGUAUGUCCCUAAUUCAAGAAGAUGGCUCUAUAUUGUUAUAAACAUGUAUAGCUGCUGACUGAUUUUUACUCAAGAUGCAUAUGAAUUAAUACUUGAAAAUGUAUUUUACAUUCAAACUAAAACUGAAAUGUCUAUAUUUUUACAGAUCCCAAAUGUAAAACAAAAGGUAAGAAUUUUUAUCCUUGUAGGGAAGUUUUGACCAAACACAGAUUUGGUUAGUCAGUAAAUAAAUAUAAAUAAAAAAAUGAUGAACUCUGAAAAGAGAACUAAAUGUUUUUUUUUUUUUUACCACAGCAUGAAUUCUAUUCAAAGAAACAUUUUAUUUGAUAUUUUGUUAUUUAGGUUUUGUGAAAAUGGUGUUCAUGGAGAUCAGCUAGCUGCGUUUAAUCGAAUUCAUCGGAAUCAAAAUCGUAUUACACGCAGGAUGUUGAGCAAAAAUGAAGUCUUCCUACCUGUCAAUCAAAACUUCUGAUUGUUUCAGAUCUAAAGAAAUCAACAAACACUAAACAUGUUUAUGUAAAUUUGGAUUAUUUAACAUGGGGGUCAAUGGGAAAAUGUGACUUUUUAAAAGCAAUAUCAUAUCAAAAGUUACUUUUGAGAAAGAUAUUUUAGGGUUUUUGGGGGAUGGUGUUGUAAAACUGAUCAAAAACUCAUAUAAGUUUAUAAUUUUUAAUUUACAAUAGGUUCAUGUAAAUAACCUGAUUAUUAACAUUUUUCAUUGAUUCCAAAGGAUCAAUCAGCUCAGACUCUGCUUGUGGUAGUGAUACUGCCUCCACUUCCUCCAGCUCCUUAUCUGGUGAAAUAAAUGUUAUCGCAACUUUACACCUCAUGAAAGGUUGGUAAUCAUAAUGUCCCUAAAAAUUAACCCAGUUGCAGUAAAAUGCGUACAUAGUCCACGACUUUGCCCUCUGAGCUAAAGAUUUUGUUUUUGUCGUAA
This is a long non-coding RNA of Oryzias melastigma (Indian medaka), 1325 nucleotides long. RefSeq lists it as uncharacterized. The transcript is spliced from 3 exons. The record is from RefSeq and is a predicted model, not a curated record. NCBI's taxonomy places the organism in Eukaryota, Metazoa, Chordata, Actinopteri, Beloniformes, Adrianichthyidae.